AAAAAAGGCGGAGGAAAGGAGGAAAGAGGGUGGAGAGAGAAGGAGAGAAGGGGGCGAGAGGUAGAGGGGGUGGGUGGAGGGAGGGGCCACCCCCAUGUCUCAGAGUGGCCCUGGCUUCUCCCACCACAGUGUGCUUCCAUGUUGCCAGGGCACUGUUGGAAAAGAGGCACAAUCACAUUCAUAUUUCCACAAUCCCAGCCCAAAGGCCCCCCAAAGCCAGCUUCAACCGCAGAGUGUCUGUGCUGUCAGAGUGGGUAGGCUGGUUUUGGAGGUUGUCCACCUUGCCUUUUCUGUGCUCAGAUUCCAUCCCUUUGUAGUCCUAGAGAGGCUGUGUUCCCGCCCCUCUCAUAUUACUGGUAAGUAUUAUGGACCAGGUAUCUGGAAAGGCCUACAGUUGGAUCCUAGAUGAGGCCGGCACCAAAGAGGAGGAGGAAGGACUGUUCCAUUAGGCCUGAAGCUCCCACAGUGUUGGACUUAGCAGGCUUUCUUGCUGAGGCGGCUGGGAUACCAUUUGGUGUCACCCAGGGGAGUUGGCCACGUGGGCUGAGCACCAGGAGCAGCUAAUGCCUGUCCCACCCAGGCGCCUGAGGCUGGGACCCUCUCCGACCCCAUAAUUUUCUACCCAGGUGGACGUGCACCCAGAGCAGCAUCAGCCCCCAGUACAAUAUCUGCGAGCAGAUGGUUCAGAUCCGGGAUGACCACAUCCGCUUCAUCUCCGAGCUCGCUCGCUACAGCAACAGUGAGGUGGUGACGGGCUCAGGGCUGGACAGC
Molecule: small RNA, 771 nt
Filed under: Pan troglodytes (chimpanzee)
Lineage: Eukaryota; Metazoa; Chordata; Mammalia; Primates; Hominidae
Description: retained intron
Source: RNAcentral